RNAcentral lists this long non-coding RNA (420 nucleotides) under Helianthus annuus (common sunflower). The record is from RNAcentral. Lineage: Eukaryota; Viridiplantae; Streptophyta; Magnoliopsida; Asterales; Asteraceae.
UGACCCCAUCCCGUGACAGUGUGGUGUGCAGAUGGAUCCCUAGCCGUCGCAUCUGGUGAACCCGCACAUAAUAACUCUUUUGACCUGUUUCCUAACCUGACUUUCGGCUCAUCUUUCCUAAAUCGUUAUCUUUAUGUUUAAUGUUUUCCGCCCAGAACUGGCAGCACGGUGGCGGUGGAGUGAGGAAACAGUCAAACAGAAGAGACACAAGUGGAGGAGUGGAAUAUUGACGUAUGCUUUGAUUCCAUCAGUUUGAUUUUUUAUGUUUCUUUGGCUUUCUAUUUUGUUCCACUUUGAAAGCAGACCAUUAUACUAGAUGUUUCAAAUGAAUAUCAUGUUAUAAAAGCAGCAACAAUUCACCUAACUUAGCACACACAAUAUGAAAUGUAUCUAAUAAUUUUUUUAUCUUUUGGCAGCUUG